CAGUGUGAGGGAGUGGACCGGUGUUGACCUCUUUGGUGGAUUCAAGAAGGGACACAUAACAUAUAUGCCAUCAACAAUUUAUCUGAAUUGCUGUCUAGGUAACAGAGCCCCCACCCUCACCGUCCUGCCCCCUUCUAGUGAGGAGCUGUCCAGUACAACAACAGUCACACUGACGUGUCUGGCCAACAAGGGCUUCCCCUCAGACUGGACCAUGAGCUGGAAAGUGGACGGGACCAGCAAGAAUCAGGAGGCCAGUCCCGGGGUCCUGGAGAAGGACAGCCUGUACAGCUGGAGCUGGUUCCUCUGCUUUGACUGUUCUGAGAUCAGAUGUUCUCUGUAUUAUUGAUCACUGACAUGUAGACUAACAGAGGGUUUUGCUUGAGUUCAUGUUCCAAUCCUCUCUGUAGACUGAGGUUGUAUCAGUGCUAGAUUUGAUGUGUUCUGCUUUAUUACUAUUAGAUACUGUAGGAAUGU
Molecule: non-coding RNA, 474 nt
Organism: Coregonus clupeaformis (lake whitefish)
Lineage: Eukaryota; Metazoa; Chordata; Actinopteri; Salmoniformes; Salmonidae
Source: the annotation of a RefSeq genome assembly